CCUACGGGAGGCAGCAGUGAGGAAUAUUGGUCAAUGGGCGCGAGCCUGAACCAGCCAAGUAGCGUGAAGGAUGACUGCCCUACGGGUUGUAAACUUCUUUUAUAAAGGAGUAAAGUGAGGCACGUGUGCCUUUUUGUAUGUACUUUAUGAAUAAGGAUCGGCUAACUCCGUGCCAGCCGCCGCGGUAAUACGGAGGAUCCGAGCGUUAUCCGGAUUUAUUGGGUGUAAAGGGAGAGUAGAUGGGGUGUUAAGUCAGUUGGGAAAGUUUGCGGCUCAACCGUAAAAUUGCAAUUGAUACUGGCAGUCUUGAGUACAGUUGAGGUAGGCGGAAUUCGGGGUGUAGCGGUGAAAUGCUUAGAUAUCACGAAGAACUCCGAUUGCGAAGGCAGCUUACUAAACUGCCACUGACAUUGAUGCUCGAAAGUGUGGGUAUCAAACAGGAUUAGAUACCCGGGUAGUC
Molecule: ribosomal RNA, 460 nt
Filed under: uncultured bacterium
Lineage: Bacteria
Description: partial 16S ribosomal RNA
Rfam family: Bacterial small subunit ribosomal RNA
Source: RNAcentral